RNAcentral lists this ribosomal RNA (405 nucleotides) under Bacillota bacterium. RNAcentral describes it as "Firmicutes bacterium partial 16S ribosomal RNA". It matches the Rfam family "Bacterial small subunit ribosomal RNA", at positions 355 to 776 of the family's 1533-position model. The record is from RNAcentral. Lineage: Bacteria; Bacillati; Bacillota.
CAAGGAAUUUUCCGCAAUGGGGGCAACCCUGACGGAGCAACGCCGCGUGCGGGAUGACGCUUUUCGGAGUGUAAACCGCUUUUCUCGGGGAGGAUGGAGGACAGUACCUGAGGAAGAAGGCCCGGCUAACUACGUGCCAGCCGCCGCGGUAAUACGUAGGGGCCGAGCGUUGUCUGGGGUUAUUUGGCGUAAAGCGCGCGCAGGCGGCCUCGCGCGCCCGACGUGUAAGCCCCCGGCUUAACCGGGGAGGGUCGUGGGGGACGGCGGGGAUGGAGGGCGGGAGAGGUCGGUGGAAUUCCCGGUGUAGGGGGGAAAUGAGUAAAGAUCGGGAGGAACACCUGUGGCGAAGGCGGCCGACUGGGCCGAUCAUGACGCUGAGGCGCGAAGGCGGGGGGAGCGAACGGG